AACACUAUUAACCGAACUCCGCUCAGAAUCGUUUUUCGUUAGCGACGGGUAUUCGUUGCGUACAUACACUAAAUUUCCCUUCUAUCUUUCUAAUUUCGUAUAGAAAUUUGUUUCUGUUUAUAAUAAUCAAGUUUUCGGCCAGAAUACUAUUUCUUAUUCCAUAUUGUCUAAUUGUUUCUAUCAUGAAUUUUAUGGGCGGUUUUCAACAGAAAAUUUGGUUUAAUUGGUGCAUCGAGGAAGUAAUUUUUCCAUUUUCUUUGUAAUGCGUAUCUAUAGUAAUAUAAAAAGUAAACGCCGUAGGAAAAACGAAAAUAUUAAAUGUGUGCAAUGUAUUAUCAUGGCGAAUUUUGAGUUAUUUAAAGCUAUUUUAAUUUGUUGAAUGUUGUUUUGACUUACAUAGAUAACAUUUUGUUGACUCAUUACGAACUAUACAAAAAUUAUAUACAAAGUUCCUUAUGAGUUGUUUUCAUGAUGGUAUAAAGGUAUCGUAAAUCCGAAAAAAACAAUUGUUUUGUUUAAGAGUUCAAAUUUUGACUAGUUAUUUUUUGAAUUAUGAAAAUUCACUUUUUAGCCUCGUAAAAAUGCUGAAAAUUUUGAUGAAAUCGUG
Molecule: non-coding RNA, 607 nt
Organism: Cinara cedri
Lineage: Eukaryota; Metazoa; Arthropoda; Insecta; Hemiptera; Aphididae
Source: the annotation of a GenBank genome assembly